Molecule: long non-coding RNA, 1648 nt
Organism: Strigops habroptila (Kakapo)
Lineage: Eukaryota; Metazoa; Chordata; Aves; Psittaciformes; Psittacidae
Source: Ensembl
CUGAUAAAGCUUUACUGGAAAUGGUUUCAGUGUUGGCAACCCCUCCAUGGUUUUUAUUUGUGUUGGUUUUGAGACAAGAGGUUUGUGUUGAAUAAUACAUUUAAUUAACCUUGUAGUUCUCUCUUUAUCAUCUUGUGGUAGUGCUCUAGCAAUGUGAGCAGGCAGUUCUGCUCUCUUGUGCUCACACAUAGCUCAGGAGAAAGACUCACUAAUUCUCCUGGACAUCUCUAAUACAUGGAGCUGUAGUUGGAGCAAUGGGCUGUAAAAUGAAAACAGUGGAUUGUAGUUUUUCAUCUCAAAUCCCAAAAUAUAGGUUUGUAUGUCUCCUGUUGCUAAAUAUGUUCUCUAAGCUUUUCCUUCUGUGUGAUUCCUCUUGCUCUAAGGGAAAAAAACGUGGUUCAAGUCUCAUUUCUGCAAUUCCUGGCAAAGUUGCAGUUUUGUAACUCGACCAAGUAGAAUUGUGCAAAGAAAAUUAUUGCUAAGCCAUUGAAAUGAAGUGAGAAAAUCCAGAGUAUUUCUACAGGGCACAUUUCCCACACACACUCUUUAAAUCUCAGCCAUAACUUACCCCUGGCCCUGCUUGGGAGCGAGCCUGAGCAAGGGGGGAGGCUUUGGGACCAAGCAGUGGGGGCUUCUGGUAAUACAAGAGCGUGUCCUUCCUGGGAAGGCACAGUGUUUUUUCUUAACCAAUAUUGAUUCCAGGAGCUUUUGCAUAUCAAAGUGUGGUGUAAAUUCCUGCUGGAUUCAUUACACUGAAUAAUCAACUAGAAUUUGUCAUCUGUAGUUUUAGAAGUCCUUCCUUUCAACGGCCUUAAGAUUCUGGUGAGAAGAAAGAGUCAGUUCCUCACUGGAUAUUGAAAAUGGAAGAGCAGAAGUAGAUUUUUAGGUGACGUGAAAGCUUCAGAUUGAUUGUCAAGAGCUUGUCCCUGAGGAGCUGAAGCUCCCCCAAAGCUGCUGCACAGGGACUGAAGCCUGGUCCACUCCUUCUGAUUGUGUAACUUGUGUAGUCAGGACUCUUUUAGCUGCCCAGAUGUAGCAGCUUGUGUCCCAAGAUCACUUGAUGCAGAACCUUUUCCUACUUUGACAUUUUUUUCCCCAAGAAAAGCUUUAAUUUGGCACAGGGGGAGAGGUAACAGCUCUAUUGCUUUGAAGAAGGAAAUAAUUCCAAACCCCCUUAUACUGGUGUUUGAUUAUGAAAUCCUUCAGAGCAGUGGUCCUGUGGAGCACCCUGCAGCACAGGAGACUCCACUGAAAGACAUACCGAGACAAAACUGAGCCAUAUCCUAGGUGACAAGUCCUCUUGGUGCCCUGUAUCUCUCCUGUCAGCUGGGUAUUUGAAACCAGUGGUGAUGCUCUCAGUCAGGAAUACCGAAGUGGCUGUUGGUCUGUCUCCUACUGAGUGAGGACAGCAGCUUGAGUCAACACUCAAGACAGAAACCAAAACCCUUUCUCACAAAGUAUCCCGGUCCAGACCCCUGUAACUGAGUUUCUGAUUGCACUUUCUGAUAUUUUGCUUUUCAUAUAACUUCUUGAAACUUAUUUUAUUGUAACUGUAAUUAUUUUUGUUCUCACCUAUUGUGCAUUCUCUGUAUGUACUAAAAAAAAAAAAAGCUUUGAUAUGUAAUUUAAUAAUAAAUUAGAACUCUAA